Long non-coding RNA from Mus musculus (house mouse), 878 nucleotides. RefSeq annotates it as tumor necrosis factor (ligand) superfamily, member 13, opposite strand. NCBI's taxonomy places the organism in Eukaryota, Metazoa, Chordata, Mammalia, Rodentia, Muridae. The record is from RefSeq and is marked validated. The transcript is spliced from 4 exons.
ACGCGGAGCCGAGCCUGCGCACAGUCGCCUGGCUUGCCGCGUGUGGCAGUCCCACGGCUCGCUCUUUUACGCCUGCGUGUCGCGCCUAGCCUCACGCUCUACGUCGCAGCCACACGUUUUUUGUUGGGGAACAUGUGCAUGUGUGGAGAUCAGAAGACAGCUUGAGAGUUGGUUCCUUCCUUUUGCUCUGUGGGUUCUCGGAAUCAAACCCAGGAGUUCUAGGGUUCUCUUGGCCCCAGCCCCACAGUUCCUGGUUGGUGCCCCUCCCACAGUGCCGUUAUUUAAAAUAGUGCUUACCCUUGGAGGUAAUGUUAACUGGAACAAGAUGCAGGACUGAGUGCUUCUCUAAGGAAAGAAGGAGGAAACAGCAGUGUUGACCUGCCCUGGAGUCCACCCUCACCUCAGCCCUGCUCCGCAUCCCUCGUGCUCCUGGGUCACCGCCAACCGCACCGAAACCCCAGGGCUCACUCACUCUUGUGCUUCUGGGCAUGUGCAACCUGCAGCCAUCAGAGGGCCCCAUGCAUCUCAGGGUGCUAUGGACAUGGCCCAAUGUAUCUGCAGAGGACAUCAUGUCACAGUAUCAGAAGAUCAGGUACCCCACAUGUAUAGAGCGCUUUUCCACCCCCACCUCACUGAAACUCUUUAACAACCUUCCGCCUCAUCAGACUCUUGGGAAAGCCUGGCCUUGCAUGGGUCCUGAGCCUGCCUCUACCACCCAAUUAAGCUUUGAGGCCUACUAAGGCCUAAAUGCUACUACCAGGGGCAAGGAGUCCCUGACUCCACUGUAAAAUCGUCUUCCUGUGUGGUGCCAUGUAUCUUGGGCUACCUUACCAUCAUUCUUGUCAUCUACCACUGUAAUUACACAUUUACAGACUGCC